This 88-nucleotide transfer RNA is filed under the name Actinomycetaceae bacterium. RNAcentral's name for it is "tRNA-Leu". It matches the Rfam family "tRNA". From Rfam's summary of the family: Transfer RNA (tRNA) molecules are approximately 80 nucleotides in length. Their secondary structure includes four short double-helical elements and three loops (D, anti-codon, and T loops). The record is from RNAcentral. Lineage: Bacteria; Bacillati; Actinomycetota; Actinomycetes; Actinomycetales; Actinomycetaceae. RNAcentral also lists the same sequence under 1 other name.
GCGCGGGUGGCGGAAUUGGUAGACGCGCUAGCUUGAGGUGCUAGUGACCAAUUAAACGGUCGUAGGGGUUCAAGUCCCCUUCCGCGCA